GAUGAACGUUGGCGGUGUGCCUAAUACAUGCAAGUCGAACGGAGUUAAUAGCAAUAUUGACUUAGUGGCGCACGGGUGAGUAACGCGUGGGUAAUCUACCCUUGGAUUUGGGAUAACUCUGCGAAAGUGGAGCUAAUACCGGAUAGUCUGGCUUUAAAUAAGAAGUCGGUAAAGGAUGCCUCUGCAUAUGCAUUCGUCCGAGGAUGAGCCCGCGUCUCAUUAGCUAGUUGGUAGGGUAAUGGCCUACCAAGGCAACGAUGAGUAGCUGGUCUGAGAGGAUGAUCAGCCACACUGGAACUGAAACACGGUCCAGACUCCUACGGGAGGCAG
Molecule: ribosomal RNA, 330 nt
Filed under: uncultured Pseudomonadota bacterium
Lineage: Bacteria; Pseudomonadati; Pseudomonadota
Description: bacterial SSU rRNA
Rfam family: Bacterial small subunit ribosomal RNA
Source: RNAcentral